GCGACAAAUCCCUCCCGCUCCUGCGGGAA
This 29-nucleotide small RNA is filed under the name Bombyx mori (domestic silkworm). Its description in RNAcentral is "ovarian small RNA-16791". Lineage: Eukaryota; Metazoa; Arthropoda; Insecta; Lepidoptera; Bombycidae. The record is from RNAcentral.